GAGAGUUAAACAGUACGUGAAAUUGUUGAAAGGGAAACGAUUGAAGUCAGUCAUACCAACGGGAAAUCAACCUUUUGAGCUUGGUCUCGUGGGUUUUGAAGAGUUUCAAAGCCUUCGGAUUCGCGAGAUUGGGAUCUCUUGGUGUACUUUUUCGUACGGUUAGUCAACAUCGGUUUUGAAUGUCAUAAAAUGACUGGAGGAAUGUAGCUUCGAUCUCGUAUUGAAGUGUUAUAGCCUUUGGUAGAUGUGAUGUUUGAGACCGAGGAUUGCAACGGAUACCCUUCAGGGCUAUUCGUCUGAUCUCUGAUACGUUGCCUUGAUGUUGAAAGCUUGCUUAUGAUGUUAGGGUAUUACGGUCAAAAGGUUAGAACGAAUUACAUUCGUUAAGGAUGUUGACGUAAUGACUUUAAACGA
Molecule: ribosomal RNA, 414 nt
Filed under: uncultured Funneliformis
Lineage: Eukaryota; Fungi; Glomeromycota; Glomeromycetes; Glomerales; Glomeraceae
Description: partial 28S ribosomal RNA
Source: RNAcentral